RNAcentral lists this ribosomal RNA (602 nucleotides) under uncultured bacterium. RNAcentral describes it as "bacterial SSU rRNA". The stretch from base 1 to 525 matches the Rfam family "Bacterial small subunit ribosomal RNA", at positions 338 to 873 of the family's 1533-position model. The record is from RNAcentral.
CCUACGGGAGGCAGCAGUGGGGAAUAUUGCACAAUGGGCGCAAGCCUGAUGCAGCGACGCCGCGUGAGGGAUGACGGCCUUCGGGUUGUAAACCUCUUUCAGUAGGGAAGAAGCGAAAGUGACGGUACCUGCAGAAGAAGCGCCGGCUAACUACGUGCCAGCAGCCGCGGUAAUACGUAGGGCGCAAGCGUUAUCCGGAAUUAUUGGGCGUAAAGAGCUCGUAGGCGGUUUGUCGCGUCUGCCGUGAAAGUCCGGGGCUCAACUCCGGAUCUGCGGUGGGUACGGGCAGACUAGAGUGAUGUAGGGGAGACUGGAAUUCCUGGUGUAGCGGUGAAAUGCGCAGAUAUCAGGAGGAACACCGAUGGCGAAGGCAGGUCUCUGGGCAUUAACUGACGCUGAGGAGCGAAAGCAUGGGGAGCGAACAGGAUUAGAUACCCUGGUAGUCCAUGCCGUAAACGUUGGGCACUAGGUGUGGGGGACAUUCCACGUUUUCCGCGCCGUAGCUAACGCAUUAAGUGCCCCGCCUGGGGNGGUACGGCGCGAGACGUAACUACAAGAAGUAGACGCGNGAGACGUGCCGACGACGACGACGAGGGAGGAGG